UGCUUAACACAUGCAAGUCGAACGAACUUAUGGGGCUUGCUUCAUAAGUUAGUGGCAGACGGGUGAGAAACGCGUGGGAACGUACCCUAAAGUUCGGAAUAACUGUUGGAAACGACAGCUAAUACCGAAUGUGGCAGAGAUGCUAAAGGUUUACCGCUUUGGGAGCGGCCCGCGUUAGAUUAGCUUGUUGGUGAGGUAAAGGCUCACCAAGGCGACGAUCUUUAGCUGGUCUGAGAGGAUGAUCAGCCACACUGGGACUGAGACACGGCCCAGACUCCUACGGGAGGCAGCAGUGGGGAAUAUUGGACAAUGGGCGAAAGCCUGAUCCAGCAAUGCCGCGUGAGUGAUGAAGGCCUUAGGGUUGUAAAGCUC
RNAcentral lists this ribosomal RNA (372 nucleotides) under uncultured organism. RNAcentral describes it as "bacterial SSU rRNA". It matches the Rfam family "Bacterial small subunit ribosomal RNA", at positions 45 to 433 of the family's 1533-position model. The record is from RNAcentral.